Molecule: ribosomal RNA, 728 nt
Filed under: uncultured Planctomycetota bacterium
Lineage: Bacteria; Pseudomonadati; Planctomycetota
Description: bacterial SSU rRNA
Rfam family: Bacterial small subunit ribosomal RNA
Source: RNAcentral
GCUUGAGCACGUAGGUGGGUUUGUAAGUCAGAUGUGAAAGCCUUCUGUUCGACGGAAGAAUUGCAUCUGAAACUGCAAGUCUUGAGUGUAGGAGGGGAGAAUGGAACUUCUGGUGGAGCGGUGAAAUGCGUAGAUAUCAGAAGGAACGCCGGCGGCGAAAGCGAUUCUCUGGCCUAUUACUGACACUCAGUGUGCGAAAGCUAGGGGAGCAAACGGGAUUAGAUACCCCGGUAGUCCUAGCCGUAAACGAUGGGCACUAAGUAGAGGGAAUUACCGAUGUUCUCUCUGCCGUAGCUAACGCAUUAAGUGCCCCGCCUGGGGAGUACGGCCGCAAGGCUAAAACUCAAAAGAAUUGACGGGGGCUCGCACAAGCGGUGGAGCAUGUGGCUUAAUUCGAUGCAACGCGAAAAACCUUACCGGGGCUUGACAUGGUAGAAGUAGGAACCCGAAAGGGUAACGAACGGUAUCCAGUCCGUAGCUAUUACAGGUGUUGCAUGGCUGUCGUCAGCUCGUGUCGUGAGACGUUGGGUUAAGUCCCCUAACGAGCGAAACCCUUAUUUUUAGUUACCAGUGGGUUAUGCCGGGUACUCUAGAAAGACUGCCGUCGUCAAGACGGAGGAAGGUGGGGAUGACGUCAAGUCAUCAUGGCCCUUAUGCCCCGGGCUGCACACGUGCUACAAUGGUCGGUACAAACGGAUGCGAAGCCGAGAGGUGAAGCGAAUCCAAGC